CCGGAGCGAGGGAGACGGCAACCCGCGCACCUUGGGAGUGUGAGAAACCCCGUUCGACUCGGGGGCUCCGGAC
RNAcentral lists this transfer RNA (73 nucleotides) under Paractinoplanes brasiliensis. RNAcentral describes it as "Actinoplanes brasiliensis tRNA-Pro". Lineage: Bacteria; Bacillati; Actinomycetota; Actinomycetes; Micromonosporales; Micromonosporaceae. The record is from RNAcentral.